AUUGAACGCUGGCGGCAGGCCUAACACAUGCAAGUCGAACGAAUGGCGGACGGGUGAGUAAUGUCUGGGAAACUGCCUGAUGGAGGGGGAUAACUACUGGAAACGGUAGCUAAUACCGCAUACCAUCAGAUGUGCCCAUAUGGGAUUAGCUUGUUGGUGGGGUAACGGCUGACCAAGGCGACGAUCCCUAGCUGGUCUGAGAGUAUGAACAGCGACACUGGAACGGAGACACUGUCCAGAGCCCUACGGGUGGCAGCAGUGGGGUAUAUUGCACAAAAAGUGCAAGCCAGAUGCAGCCAUGCGGCGUGUAUGAAGAAGGCCUUCGGGUUGUAAAGUACUUUCAGCGGGGAGGGGUUACCCGCAGAAGAAGCACCGGCUAACUCCGUGCCAGCAGCCGAGGUAAUAC
RNAcentral lists this ribosomal RNA (406 nucleotides) under uncultured bacterium. RNAcentral's name for it is "partial 16S ribosomal RNA". It matches the Rfam family "Bacterial small subunit ribosomal RNA", at positions 30 to 526 of the family's 1533-position model. The record is from RNAcentral.